RNAcentral lists this ribosomal RNA (433 nucleotides) under uncultured bacterium. Its description in RNAcentral is "partial 16S ribosomal RNA". It matches the Rfam family "Bacterial small subunit ribosomal RNA", at positions 29 to 507 of the family's 1533-position model. The record is from RNAcentral.
AACGAACGCUGGCGGCAUGCCUAAUACAUGCAAGUCGAACGAGAUCUUCGGAUCUAGUGGCGCACGGGUGCGUAACGCGUGGGAAUCUGCCCUUGGGUUCGGAAUAACUUCUGGAAACGGAAGCUAAUACCGGAUGAUGACGUAAGUCCAAAGAUUUAUCGCCCAAGGAUGAGCCCGCGUAGGAUUAGGUAGUUGGUGAGGUAAAGGCUCACCAAGCCGACGAUCCUUAGCUGGUCUGAGAGGAUGAUCAGCCACACUGGGACUGAGACACGGCCCAGACUCCUACGGGAGGCAGCAGUAGGGAAUAUUAGACAAGGGGCGAAAGCCUGAUCCAGCAAUGCCGCGUGAGUGAUGAAGGCCUUAGGGUUGUAAAGCUCUUUUACCCGGGAUGAUAAUGACAGUACCGGGAGAAUAAGCACCGGCUAACUCCGUG